GAUGAACGCUGGCGGCGUGCCUAAUACAUGCAAGUCGAGCGAACGGACGAGAAGCUUGCUUCUCUGAUGUUAGCGGCGGACGGGUGAGUAACACGUGGAUAACCUACCUAUAAGACUGGGAUAACUUCGGGAAACCGGAGCUAAUACCGGAUAAUAUUUUGAACCGCAUGGUUCAAAAGUAAAAGACGGUCUUGCUGUCACUUAUAGAUGGAUCCGCGCUGCAUUAGCUAGUUGGUAAGGUAACGGCUUACCAAGGCAACGAUGCAUAGCCGACCUGAGAGGGUGAUCGGCCACACUGGAACUGAGACACGGUCCAGACUCCUACGGGAGGCAGCAGUAGGGAAUCUUCCGCAAUGGGCGAAAGCCUGACGGAGCAACGCCGCGUGAGUGAUGAAGGUCUUCGGAUCGUAAAACUCUGUUAUUAGGGAAGAACAUAUGUGUAAGUAACUGUGCACAUCUUGACGGUACCUGAUCAAAAAGCCACGGCUAACUACGUG
RNAcentral lists this ribosomal RNA (497 nucleotides) under uncultured bacterium. RNAcentral describes it as "partial 16S ribosomal RNA". It matches the Rfam family "Bacterial small subunit ribosomal RNA", at positions 28 to 507 of the family's 1533-position model. The record is from RNAcentral.